Molecule: ribosomal RNA, 1504 nt
Filed under: metagenome
Description: bacterial LSU rRNA
Rfam family: Bacterial large subunit ribosomal RNA
Source: RNAcentral
UAGACCAGAAGCGAGAAUGUUGACAUGAGUAGCGACAAACAGGGUGAGAAACCCUGUCGCCGAAAGUCCAAGGGUUCCUGCUUAAAGCUAAUCUGAGCAGGGUAAGCCGGCCCCUAAGGCGAGGCCGAAAGGCGUAGUCGAUGGGAACCAGGUUAAUAUUCCUGGGCCAGUGGGAUGUGACGGAUCGCAGAUGUAGUUUGCCCUUAUCGGAUUGGGUGGGCUGCUGAGCGGUUCCAGGAAAUAGCCCCACAUCAGACCGUACCCUAAACCGACACAGGUGGACUGGUAGAGUAUACCAAGGCGCUUGAGAGAACCACGUUAAAGGAACUCGGCAAAAUGCCUCCGUAAGUUCGCGAGAAGGAGGCCCCAUAUGUACGCAAGUAUGUGUGGGGGGCACAAACUAGGGGGUGGCGACUGUUUACUUAAAACACAGGGCUGUGCGAAGCCGUAAGGCGACGUAUACAGUCUGACGCCUGCCCGGUGCUGGAAGAUUAAGAGGAGGGGUGCAAGCUCUGAAUUGAAGUCCCAGUAAACGGCGGCCGUAACAAUAACGGUCCUAAGGUAGCGAAAUUCCUUGUCGGGUAAGUUCCGACCUGCACGAAUGGCGUAACGAUCUCCCCGCUGUCUCUAACGUGGACUCAGCGAAAUUGAACUGUGUGUCAAGAUGCACACUACCCGCGGUUAGACGGAAAGACCCCAUGAACCUUUACUCCAGCUUUGCACUGGUAUCAGGAUUGUGAUGUGCAGGAUAGGUGGUAGGCAUUGAAGCGGGGACGCCAGUCUUCGUGGAGCCUCCCUUGAGAUACCACCCUUCGCCAUCUUGAUAUCUAACCGCGGCCCGUUAUCCGGGUCCGGGACCCUGCAUGGUGGGGAGUUUGACUGGGGCGGUCGCCUCCCAAACAGUAACGGAGGCGCGCGAUGGUUGGUUCAGACCGGUCGGAAAUCGGUCGUUGAGUGCAAUGGCAGAAGCCAGCCUGACUGCAAGACUGACAAGUCGAGCAGAGACGAAAGUCGGUCAUAGUGAUCCGGUGGUCCCAAGUGGGAGGGCCAUCGCUCAACGGAUAAAAGGUACUCUGGGGAUAACAGGCUGAUGAUGCCCAAGAGUCCAUAUCGACGGCAUCGUUUGGCACCUCGAUGUCGGCUCAUCUCAUCCUGGGGCUGGAGCAGGUCCCAAGGGUAUGGCUGUUCGCCAUUUAAAGAGGUACGUGAGCUGGGUUUAGAACGUCGUGAGACAGUUCGGUCCCUAUCUGCCGUGGGUGCAGGAGACUUGAGAAGAGUUGACCCUAGUACGAGAGGACCGGGUUGAACGAACCACUGGUGGACCAGUUAUCGUGCCAACGGUAGUGCUGGGUAGCUAUGUUCGGACAGGAUAACCGCUGAAGGCAUCUAAGCGGGAAGCCCCCUUCAAAACAAGGUCUCCCUUGAGGGCCGUGGAAGACGACCACGUCGAUAGGCCAGAGGUGUAAGUGCAGCAAUGCAUUCAGCUGACUGGUACUAAUUGCUC